This 401-nucleotide unclassified non-coding RNA is filed under the name Zea mays. RNAcentral's name for it is "misc RNA Zm00001eb404140". The record is from RNAcentral. Lineage: Eukaryota; Viridiplantae; Streptophyta; Magnoliopsida; Poales; Poaceae.
GCAGAGCAGAGAAGACGAGGGGACGCGAAGGGAAACUCUCACCACCAUUCCCGAGCCUCCGCGAAGAGCUCCGGGGGCUACCUCUCCGACGCGGCCGGAAGCUGCGGCGACGGACCCGGAGGCACUGGACGGCGUGGCCUGGCACAGCCUCUCUCCGCGCCCCUCGGAGUACCUCUGCCGCCUCUUCCCUCCCGUCGCCGUCGGCCCCUGCGGCUGGGAGUUGGGAGGAAGUGGCAGAGGAGGAGGAGGCCGGCGACGGCAACGGCGACAGGGAGACUCUGCCUGCCUCGGCGACGGCAACGGCGACAGGGUGACUCUUGGCUGCCUCCACCCACUGACCGCUUUAGGGCAAGACAAUAAAGAUACAAUAUCAUUUAAUGUAAAUAAAAAUAUAAAAGAUA